ACGGCGCCCAUCAGGAGCGCCCCCCACUCCCAGGCCAGGCCACCCCGCGGACCGGGCCCUCCACGCGCCCAGGCGAGAUGCCAGCUCAGCAGGGGUGAGGCCAGAAGCAGGUGGGUGACUCACCUAGAGCUCCUCCUAGCCUCAGUUUACCCGCUGAUGCAACCAGAGGCCUCCUCAGCACUGGGCUCCCUCUGCUCCCCGUGGGCCGCUCCCCGCGUGGGGCCACUGCCCUUGGCCCCCGCCAUGGUGCGGAUUUCAAAGCCCAAGACGUUUCAGGCCUACUUGGAUGAUUGUCACCGGAGGUACAGCUGUGCCCACUGCCGUGCUCACCUGGCCAACCACGACGACCUCAUCUCCAAGUCCUUCCAGGGCAGUCAGGGGCGUGCCUACCUCUUCAACUCUGUGGUGAAUGUGGGUUGUGGGCCAGCAGAAGAGCGGGUGCUGCUG
Molecule: long non-coding RNA, 447 nt
Filed under: Rattus norvegicus (Norway rat)
Lineage: Eukaryota; Metazoa; Chordata; Mammalia; Rodentia; Muridae
Description: long non-coding RNA NONRATT001203
Source: RNAcentral